This 253-nucleotide ribosomal RNA is filed under the name uncultured bacterium. Its description in RNAcentral is "partial 16S ribosomal RNA". It matches the Rfam family "Bacterial small subunit ribosomal RNA", at positions 524 to 776 of the family's 1533-position model. The record is from RNAcentral.
UACGGGGGGGGCUAGCGUUGUCCGGAAUUAUUGGGCGUAAAGAGCUCGUAGGCGGUUUGUCGCGUCUGCUGUGAAAACUCGGGGCUUAGCUCCGGGCCUGCAGUGGGUACGGGCAGAAUAGAGUGCGGUAGGGGAGACUGGAAUUCCUGGUGUAGCGGUGAAAUGCGCAGAUAUCAGGAGGAACACCGGUGGCGAAGGCGGGUCUCUGGGCCGUAACUGACGCUGAGGAGCGAAAGCGUGGGGAGCGAACAGG